AACAAAAACAUGGCCUUUAGAUUUUUGAUUUAAGGUCUAGCCUGCCCACUGAUUAUUUAAAUGGCCGCGGUAUCUUGACCGUGCAAAGGUAGCAUAAUAAUUAGUUUUUUAAUUGAAAGCUGGAAUGAAUGGUUGAACGAGAAAAAUACUGUCUCCUCCCAAUUUUAUUUAGAAUUUUAUUUUUAAGUUAGAAAGCUUAAAUUUAUUUGAAAGACGAGAAGACCCUGUGGAGUUUAAUAGAAUUAUGUUUUUCUCUUUUUUAGGCAUUGUUUAUUGAGGCAUAUAUACUUCUAUUUGAUUGGGGUGAUCAGAAAAUUGAAUAAACUUUUCUUUGAAUGUGGUCCAUGAAUUGAUGUUUAGUUGAUCCACUUUAUAGUGAUUAAAAGAUUAAAUUACCCCAGGGAUAACAGCGUAAUCUUUCCAGAGAGUUCUAUCGAAGGAAGGGU
RNAcentral lists this ribosomal RNA (446 nucleotides) under Bolboceras sp. 2 YvdM-2007. RNAcentral describes it as "partial 16S ribosomal RNA". It matches the Rfam family "Bacterial large subunit ribosomal RNA", at positions 1806 to 2517 of the family's 2925-position model. Lineage: Eukaryota; Metazoa; Arthropoda; Insecta; Coleoptera; Bolboceratidae. The record is from RNAcentral.